AUUGACGGAAGGGCACCACCA
This 21-nucleotide non-coding RNA is filed under the name Arabidopsis thaliana (thale cress). Lineage: Eukaryota; Viridiplantae; Streptophyta; Magnoliopsida; Brassicales; Brassicaceae. The record is from RNAcentral. RNAcentral also lists the same sequence under 1 other name.